AGAUUGUUCUUUUCUCGGUUCUUCCUGCAUGGAACUCUGAGCAGUUUGUGGUCAUUCUCUUUUAUUCUAUCAAUCCUCUACCCGCUGUGGGCUCCAUCCUCCCUAGUUGGGAAAGAUAGGCUUGGAGAAGCUCACCUGAACUUCUUUCAUGCCCCAGAGUCCCAUUUAGGGAAUGGUUCCUACAGGUCCCUAGGGAAACACAACAUUCAUGGAGGAAAAGCGUUAAGGCAGCUUUCAGAAGCAUUUCAUUUCCAACUAGAGCUCAGCUUUGGCCCUGAACAAAGAGGGCUUACUAGCUAUUAGGCUGAAACAAUUGGCCAACCCACUCCCAGAAUUUGCCUGGAAAACCCCUGUUGGAGAAUUCGAGGGAUGAAAGUCAUGCUGGGGUGACAAAGCAUAUGCAUGAAGAACCCCCACCCCCAGAAUUGACAAAUUACCCCAGAAGAAACACAGGUCACCAGAUCUCCACCAGCUGAAAUGCUGGCAUGCAGUAACUCAGCUAAAUCCAUGCUCCAGAAACUCCCCAAAUGAGAGAAAGUCAUGUGAGCCCAUAUGGUCAAUCUGAGCUGGAUGAGAGAAGAUAGUAGUCUCAUUUUCCCAUCUAUAGAUUUUUAUGCUCCCUUUGGUUGGUAAUUUACAUUUAUAUAGACUCUUUCAAACUCUGGGUUCUAAAAUGGCUUUGCUGGCUUAUAUGUAUAGGGUCCCACUUUGCAUCAGCAGUUUGCUCUGUAGAUGUAAACAAAACCUGACCAUCUGUAUUUAAAUAAAAUCACGUGGCUCAGUUUUAACCUGGUCAUUUUAAGCCAUUACCAUACUUGAGUGAAUUCCCCUGAGUGCUUUUUUAAGGUACAUAAAUGCAAUGCAUGGUGCUACUGAAGAAACCCUUUAGUCUGAUUCCAUCUUGAUGCCAGGAGGCCCUGUAGCUGUAUGUCCUCCAUGAUUUAUGUAUGAAUGUAAAAAGAUGUGAUACGGCUGAUAAAAAUACAGGUUUUAUCUGAUUUCGGCUCUGUUCAGAAACCACCGGUUUCUCUGGAGUCUUGUAUUUCCCGCCCACCGUGGCCAGCAUUUUACGGUGUUAAUCAGAUUUUGCUGUUUUUCUUCACACUGAGUCCCUUCCCUAUCCAUUCCACCCUCUUGACUCUUAUCCUCCCACCCUCACCUUCAUGGUGCAUGGGCCUAUUAAAUGGUGUCCAGUCCAAUUUCUGGCACCCAAUAAAUCUAAAUUUUCAAGCUUGGGAAGCCAGGCUCACCUACUGGCACCUAGAUAAAUGAGUCCUCCAUGAGAAACCUACACCGGUCAUUACUCAAGACUUCUGAAACCCCACCACUGGAUUUCAGGCCAGAGAAAGUCAAGUCCUCCUUUCAGCCUUCAUUCUCCAAAAAAGAAAAUAACCCACAGCCCAGGGCCUCGCCUUCAUCUACAUCUCCAGUCCCUCCAUCUGGAUGCUCAGACUGAAUCCCAGCCUCCCACUUGCAGCAUCCUGCCGGCUCCUACGUCACCCCGUCAGGUCACCCCAUCAGCUCUGCAGCUUUGAAAUGAGACUUAAUAUCCGGCACACGCGCCUGCGCUGCUCAGCUCGCCGGGGCUCCAAGCCUGAAGAUGAACAAAGAGCCUCCGUGAACUGUUUCAUUGUUUGCAACAAGCACAACCAAGAUGGGCUUCUCUCCCUAGCCCACUCUGCGGUGAAUCCCCCACUUUGUGUGGGAGGACUGUUAAUGACCGAAAUCUACACUCCAUCUAAUAGACAAAGGCUCUGACAUUGUCUCCUGCAGGAGAAGGGGGAUCUUGGGGUCAGGGACGUUUGAACCCAGGUUGGUUUCCUGGAAAAGUGGUGGGAAGGAGGAGCCAAGAGCCGGGGCUGCUGGGGAAGCAACAGGAGCUCAGGGCUGUGUUUCAUUCCAGGAGGCGAGACCUGGAGGUGGUGGGAAGUUGGGGACUAUUUGUAUUUACUUGUUAUUUUGACUUGUGAAAUUACUCCCUUUCAUUCCACCAGCCUUCUGCCUCUGCACAAUAAAAAUUAAUUACAAUGAAUUAGAACCUUUAAAAACCACGCUUAAUAGUAGCUCAGAGACAGCCCCUCCUCUGGCCCCUCACUAGUCUACAGCUCAACAUCUGAUCAAUCUGGCAAGAACAAUUUUAAAAGGAAAAAGUACCUGCUUUUGGCUUCUAUGAAUAAAUCUGGGAACUAAUAGGAUACUGUGAUGGUUAAUGUUAUGUGUCAGCUUGGCUGGGCUAGAGUACCCAGUUAUUUAAUCAAGCACUGAUCCAUGUGUUGACUGGAUGGGUAUUUUGUAAAUACGGUUACCAGCUACAGUUGACUGACUGAGUAGAUUACCCUGAAUAAUGUGGGUGGGCCUUGUCCAAUCAGUUGAAGUUCCUAAGAGAAAGCCCUGAGGUUUCCCAGAGAAGAAAAAAAAAAAAUUCUGCCUCAAGACUGCAUCAACUUCUGCCCAAGUUUCCAGACUAUUGGCCUGCCCUGUAUUCCUUGAAAUAAAUCACACAUAUAUUUGUGUGUGUGUAUAUAUAUAUAUAUAAACAUAUACAUCUGAUCUAUAUCUGUAUCCCUAUAUAUUGCUGAUUCUGCUUCCCUGAAGAACCCUGACUCAUACAGCUAUUUAGAAAGCUUAUACUGAAUUCGAAUUGCUCAUUGUGUAACUUUUGGAAGGAGGACUGCUCUUCUUCAUUUCCUGAACAUGAAGUCUUGUGCUGUGGACAUAGUAGGUGCUUAGUAAAUGUUCAUUGAAGGGACUGGAAACCCAAAGAAGCCCCAUAAUGCUUUUCUCAACUUCUACUGCCCCAUUUUCAAAUGGAAACAUUUGCUCCCUCCCAUCCACUUGGGACUCAUCAGCUCUACUUUGCUGACCAGCUCUUCUCUGGAUGUUCCUAUCACGUUGUCAUUCACUGAAGCCUCCAUCACUCUCUACUUUAACACCUAUCAACUAAACCAUAUCUUCCCCAAAGGCUUCACUGCAGAGGGGCCAGGCUCAUAGCUUACUCUUGCUUCCUUGAAGCUUGUGUGUAGGAUUCUUUAGGCUUAUAUUAAUUGUGCUUUGCUUCACCUGACAUCUUAAAAUGAUGUUGUCUGU
Long non-coding RNA from Bos taurus (domestic cattle), 3087 nucleotides. The record is from Ensembl. NCBI's taxonomy places the organism in Eukaryota, Metazoa, Chordata, Mammalia, Artiodactyla, Bovidae.